GCUGGGCGUGGUAGCACAUGCCUGUAAUCCCAGCAACCUAGGAGGCUGAGGCAGGAGAAUUGCAAGUUCAAGGUCUGACUCAGCAACUUAACAAGGCCCUAAGCAGCUUAUGGAGAACCUGCCUCCU
Molecule: small RNA, 127 nt
Filed under: Marmota monax (woodchuck)
Lineage: Eukaryota; Metazoa; Chordata; Mammalia; Rodentia; Sciuridae
Source: RNAcentral